Lotus japonicus is the source of this 102-nucleotide small nucleolar RNA. RefSeq annotates it as small nucleolar RNA R30/Z108. The record is from RefSeq and is a predicted model, not a curated record. The transcript has a single exon. NCBI's taxonomy places the organism in Eukaryota, Viridiplantae, Streptophyta, Magnoliopsida, Fabales, Fabaceae.
AGUUUUCACGAUGAGGAUACCAAGCUCCCUCUUCUGAAAUUUCAGAGCUGAGGAAAAUUGCUGGCAGAAUCGAACCAUAUAACUUUAGCCAUCACUGAGUGA